RNAcentral lists this ribosomal RNA (381 nucleotides) under Triticum aestivum (bread wheat). RNAcentral describes it as "partial small subunit ribosomal RNA". Lineage: Eukaryota; Viridiplantae; Streptophyta; Magnoliopsida; Poales; Poaceae. The record is from RNAcentral.
AUGGGGCAUCUCAACCCGCUGGCGUGCGUGGGUUUCGCCGGCAGCAAGGGCGCGAAGCGUGCCAAGGCGGCCACUACGGAGAACGCGAAGACGACGAAGCCUGGUCCAACCCCGCCGGUCGCCGCGAACGACGCGUCGGCAGGAAGCCAGGCCGCUACCGCAGCCGCUGAGACGUCGUCCGCUGGGACGAAACGAAGAGGCGCGGCAGGCAAGAGCGCCGGCGUCAACGCGCGCCCGCGCCCGCGCCCGCGCGAUCACGAAGGAGAGGCUACGGUGUGCCGUGGCGGUUUCAUGCCCUACCGGCCGCUCUACAGCUACGACAUGGACCCCCUUGCCAACUGCAUGUACUUUUACGGCUCCGUCGGCGGAAUCAUGUGCUGA